Molecule: ribosomal RNA, 465 nt
Filed under: uncultured bacterium
Lineage: Bacteria
Description: bacterial SSU rRNA
Rfam family: Bacterial small subunit ribosomal RNA
Source: RNAcentral
CCUACGGGUGGCACCAGUGGGGAAUAUUGCACAAUGGGCGCAAGCCUGAUGCAGCCAUGCCGCGUGUAUGAAGAGGGCCUUCGGGUUGUAAAGUACUUUCAGAGGGGAGGAAGGCGAUAAGGUUAAUAACCUUGUCGAUUGACGUUACCCGCAGAAGAAGCACCGGCUAACUCCGUGCCAGCAGCCGCGGUAAUACGGAGGGUGCAAGCGUUAAUCGGAAUUACUGGGCGUAAAGCGCACGCAGGCGGUCUGUCAAGUCGGAUGUGAAAUCCCCGGGCUCAACCUGGGAACUGCAUUCGAAACUGGCAGGCUAGAGUCUUGUAGAGGGGGGUAGAAUUCCAGGUGUAGCGGUGAAAUGCGUAGAGAUCUGGCGGAAUACCGGUGGCGAAGGCGGCCCCCUGGACAAAGACUGACGCUCAGGUGCGAAAGCGUGGGGAGCAAACAGGCUUAGAUACCCUCGUAGUC